This 74-nucleotide microRNA precursor is filed under the name Myotis davidii. Its description in RNAcentral is "mir-9193 microRNA precursor family". It matches the Rfam family "mir-9193 microRNA precursor family". The record is from Rfam by way of RNAcentral. Lineage: Eukaryota; Metazoa; Chordata; Mammalia; Chiroptera; Vespertilionidae.
UCAGGGGUUGGGGGGUCCCUCAGCUCAGAUUGCGAGAGGGUGUAGGCCAGGCCAAGGGACCACACUGGUACAGG